UACGUAGGGUGCGAGCGUUUAAUCGGAAUUACUGGGCGUAAAGGGCGCGUAGGCGGGAUGGCAAGUCGGUCGUGAAAUCCCUCGGCUCAACCGAGGAACGUCGAUCGAUACUGCUGUUCUUGAGGAUUGCAGAGGAGACUGGAAUUCCCGGUGUAGCGGUGAAAUGUGUAGAGAUCGGGAGGAACACCGGUGGCGAAGGCGGGUCUCUGGGCAAUUCCUGACGCUGAGGCGCGAAAGCGUGGGGAGCAAACGGG
RNAcentral lists this ribosomal RNA (254 nucleotides) under uncultured bacterium. RNAcentral's name for it is "partial 16S ribosomal RNA". It matches the Rfam family "Bacterial small subunit ribosomal RNA", at positions 524 to 776 of the family's 1533-position model. The record is from RNAcentral.